UACGAAGGGGGCUAGCGUUGCUCGGAAUCACUGGGCGUAAAGGGUGCGUAGGCGGGUUUUUAAGUCAGGGGUGAAAUCCUGGAGCUCAACUCCAGAACUGCCUUUGAUACUGAAGAUCUUGAGUCCGGGAGAGGUGAGUGGAACUGCGAGUGUAGAGGUGAAAUUCGUAGAUAUUCGCAAGAACACCAGUGGCGAAGGCGGCUCACUGGCACGGUACUGACGCUGAGGCACGAAAGCGUGGGGAGCAAACAGG
RNAcentral lists this ribosomal RNA (253 nucleotides) under uncultured bacterium. Its description in RNAcentral is "partial 16S ribosomal RNA". It matches the Rfam family "Bacterial small subunit ribosomal RNA", at positions 524 to 776 of the family's 1533-position model. The record is from RNAcentral.